Molecule: non-coding RNA, 125 nt
Organism: Triticum aestivum (bread wheat)
Lineage: Eukaryota; Viridiplantae; Streptophyta; Magnoliopsida; Poales; Poaceae
Source: Rfam
UGACUACUCCCUCCGUCCGGAAUUACUUGUCGCAUAUAUGGAUAAAAGUGAAUGUAUCUAGAACUAAAAUACAUCUAGGUACAUCUAUUUAUCCAACAAGUAUUUCCGGGUGGAGGGAGUAUUAA